AACGUAGGAAGCGAGCGUUAUCCGGAUUUACUGGGCGUAAAGCGUGCGCAGGCGGUGAUGUAAGACAGAUGUGAAAUCCCCGGGCUCAACCUGGGAACUGCGUUUGUGACUGCAUCACUCGAGUACGGCAGAGGGAGGUGGAAUUCCGCGUGUAGCAGUGAAAUGCGUAGAUAUGCGGAGGAACACCGAUGGCGAAGGCAGCCUCCUGGGCCAGUACUGACGCUCAUGCACGAAAGCGUGGGGAGCAAACAGGAUUAGAAACCCCGGUAGU
Molecule: ribosomal RNA, 271 nt
Filed under: uncultured bacterium
Lineage: Bacteria
Description: partial 16S ribosomal RNA
Rfam family: Bacterial small subunit ribosomal RNA
Source: RNAcentral